RNAcentral lists this unclassified non-coding RNA (204 nucleotides) under rhizosphere metagenome. Its description in RNAcentral is "partial ribosomal RNA internal transcribed spacer region". The record is from RNAcentral.
GUUGGUGAACCAGCGGAGGGAUCAUUACUGAGUUGCAAAACUCCAAACCCAUUGUGUUCUUGAAUUAUCUGUUGCCUCGGCAGGCUGCCCCAGGGCGGGGCGCCUACAAUGCCUGCCGAAAGCACCCCCCAAACUCUUCUGAAACGUGUCUUCUGAAGCACUAAGAAAUAAUCAAAACUUUCAACAACGGAUCUCUUGGUUCUG